UUAGAUACCCUUGUAGUCCACGCCGUAAACGAUGAUUACUAGGUGUCGGUGGGUAUGGACCCAUCGGUGCCGCAGCAAACGCAGUAAGUAAUCCACCUGGGGAGUACGUUCGCAAGAAUGAAACUCAAAGGAAUUGACGGGGACCCGCACAAGCGGUGGAGCAUGUGGUUUAAUCCGAAGCAACGCGAAGAACCUUACCAAGUCUUGACAUCUGGAUGACAGGGACGUAACGGUCCCCUUACUUCGGUACAUCCAAGACAGGUGGUGCAUGGUUGUCGUCAGCUCGUGUCGUGAGAUGUUGGGUUAAGUCCCGCAACGAGCGCAACCCUUAUCCUUAGUAGCCAGCGGGCAGGGCCGGGCACUCUAGGGAGACUGCCGGGGAUAACCCGGAGGAAGGUGGGGAUGACGUCAAAUCAUCAUGCCCCUUAUGAUUUGGGCUACACACGUGCUACAAUGGCGUAAACAGAGGGAAGCGAACCCGCGAAGGGGAGCAAAUCCCANAAACAACGUCCCAGUUUCGGAUUGUAGCNNCUGCACCCGCUACAUGAAGCUGGAAUCGCUAGUAAUCGCGGAUCAGAAUGCCCGCGUGAAUACGUUCCCGGGUCUUGUACACACCGGCCGUCACACCAUGGGAGUCGGAAAUGCCCGAAGUCUGUGACCCAACCGCCAAGGAGGAACCACCCGAAGCAAGUUCGGAUGACUGGGGUUGAAGUUCUAACAAGGGUAACCCGAAUUCCACAAACUGGCCGGCCGUUCUAU
This 759-nucleotide ribosomal RNA is filed under the name uncultured bacterium. Its description in RNAcentral is "bacterial SSU rRNA". It matches the Rfam family "Bacterial small subunit ribosomal RNA", at positions 778 to 1533 of the family's 1533-position model. The record is from RNAcentral.